UCUCUCUCUCUCUCUCUCUCUCUCUUAGGCCCUCAUCCAGUCAGGAAGUCACCCUAGCUCACAUUUCUUAUAAUUAUUUUGUAUUUUGAACUAUUGGACAUGUUGCAUCAAAUUGUAGGUAAUGUUUUAUAAAAAUUAAACUAUUGAUUAUAUAAUGUCGAGAAUUUCAAUCGGCUCGUUUAGAGCUCGAGCUCGGCUCGACUCGAAAUUAGGCUCGCUCGAGCUCGGCUCGAAUUAAUUUCAAGUCGAGCUUGAGCCUAGAUUUAGACUCGAAAUUAAUUUCAAGUCGAAUUUGAGCUGACAUAAGCUCGCUCGAGCUCGGCUCGUUUCCACCCCUAGUCGUAAUAAGAAUGUAUUUAUUCAGACUUGCGAGA
This 374-nucleotide long non-coding RNA is filed under the name Ananas comosus (pineapple). Its description in RNAcentral is "long non-coding RNA (ACOM_LNC011106)". The record is from RNAcentral. Lineage: Eukaryota; Viridiplantae; Streptophyta; Magnoliopsida; Poales; Bromeliaceae.